UGGGGAAUAUUGCACAAUGGGGGGAACCCUGAUGCAGCCACGCCGCGUGAAUGAAGAAGGCCUUCGGGUUGUAAAGUUCUUUCGGUGACGAGGAAGGUUGGUAGGUUAAUAGCCUAUCAAAUUGACGUUAAUCACAGAAGAAGCACCGGCUAACUCCGUGCCAGCAGCCGCGGUAAUACGGGGGGUGCGAGCGUUAAUCGGAAUAACUGGGCGUAAAGGGCACGCAGGCGGUGACUUAAGUGAGAUGUGAAAGCCCCGAGCUUAACUUGGGAAUUGCAUUUCAUACUGGGUCGCUAGAGUACUUUAGGGAGGGGUAGAAUUCCACGUGUAGCGGUGAAAUGCGUAGAGAUGUGGAGGAAUACCGAAGGCGAAGGCAGCCCCUUGGGAAUGUACUGACGCUCAUGUGCGAAAGCGUGGGGAGCAAACAGGAUUAGAUACCCUGGUAGUCCACGCUGUAAACGAUGUCGAUUUGGGGAUUGGGCUUUGAGCUUGGUGCCCGUAGCUAACGUGAUAAAUCGACCGCCUGGGGAGUACGGCCGCAAGGUUA
RNAcentral lists this ribosomal RNA (547 nucleotides) under uncultured bacterium. Its description in RNAcentral is "bacterial SSU rRNA". It matches the Rfam family "Bacterial small subunit ribosomal RNA", at positions 355 to 896 of the family's 1533-position model. The record is from RNAcentral.